GAAACUAACCUUUCAUUUUUAAAUUUUUGAAAACAUUUCCAUAGGCACUUGAGUUAGAUCAAAGAGGAACUUGAGGACACUUUCUGUACGUGCUGUGAGUAGGGCUAAUGGUGUGUAUAUAUGUACAUUCUUCUCACCAGGAAAGACCAAGUGCAUGAUGAAGUCUUCAGACUGCGUCAUCAAGCAUGCUGGCGUGUACAGCACUGGCCUCGCCAUGGUGGGCGCAAUAUGUGACUUCUGCGAAGCAUGGGUUUGCCACGGGAGGAAGUGUCUUAGCACCCACGCCUGUGCCUGCCCACUCACAGAUGCAGAGUGUGUGGAGUGUGAGCGAGGGGUGUGGGACCACGGAGGCAGAAUAUUCAGCUGUUCAUUUUGCCAUAAUUUUCUCUGUGAAGAUGACCAGUUUGAGCAUCAGGCCAGCUGCCAAGUUUUAGAAGCGGAAACAUUUAAAUGUGUUUCCUGUAAUCGACUUGGCCAGCACUCAUGUCUCCGAUGUAAGGCUUGUUUCUGUGAUGAACAUACAAGGAGCAAAGUGUUUAAGCAAGAAAAAGGGAAACAACCUCCGUGCCCUAAAUGUGGGCAUGAAACGCAGGAGACAAAGGAUCUUAGCAUGUCAACACGCUCCUUGAAAUUUGGCAGGCAGACUGGAGGAGAAGAAGGAGAUGGAGCUUCUGGGUAUGAUGCUUACUGGAAGAACCUGUCGUCGGACAAGUAUGGAGAUACUGGAUACCGUGAUGAGGAGGAGGAGGAGGAGGAAGCAGAGGAUGAUGAAGAGGACGAUGGG
RNAcentral lists this long non-coding RNA (784 nucleotides) under Rattus norvegicus (Norway rat). RNAcentral describes it as "long non-coding RNA NONRATT014538". Lineage: Eukaryota; Metazoa; Chordata; Mammalia; Rodentia; Muridae. The record is from RNAcentral.